This 30-nucleotide non-coding RNA is filed under the name Homo sapiens (human). The record is from RNAcentral. Lineage: Eukaryota; Metazoa; Chordata; Mammalia; Primates; Hominidae.
UAGGGCCUAAUGGGAAUACACUUCCAUAUU